CUCAGUUCGGAUCGGAGUCUGCAACCCGACUCCGUGAAGCUGGAUUCGCUAGUAAUCGCGCAUCAGCCAUGGCGCGGUGAAUACGUUCCCGGGCCUUGUACACACCGCCCGUCAAGCCAUGGGAGCCGGGGGUGCCUGAAGUUCGUGACCGCAAGGAGCGACCUAGGGCAAAACUGGUGACUGGGGCUAAGUCGUAACAAGGUAGC
RNAcentral lists this ribosomal RNA (206 nucleotides) under uncultured bacterium. Its description in RNAcentral is "partial 16S ribosomal RNA". It matches the Rfam family "Bacterial small subunit ribosomal RNA", at positions 1287 to 1500 of the family's 1533-position model. The record is from RNAcentral.